Molecule: ribosomal RNA, 200 nt
Filed under: uncultured eukaryote
Lineage: Eukaryota
Description: partial 18S ribosomal RNA
Rfam family: Eukaryotic small subunit ribosomal RNA
Source: RNAcentral
AGCUCCAAUAGCGUAUAUUAAAGUUGUUGCAGUUAAAAAGCUCGUAGUUGGAUCUUGGGAUGUGCGGAACUUUGUCCACCUAGUGGUGAGAACAGGUUCGGCCAUCCUUCCUUCUGGAUAUCCACCGGUGUUCUUAAUUGAGCGCCGGUAGCCGGCCGUGGUUUGUUCUGGCGGCCUGGAUUCCAGAUCGUUUACUUUGA